Molecule: non-coding RNA, 44 nt
Filed under: Comamonas aquatica
Lineage: Bacteria; Pseudomonadati; Pseudomonadota; Betaproteobacteria; Burkholderiales; Comamonadaceae
Also listed under: 1 other name
Description: Guanidine-II sequence
Rfam family: Guanidine-II riboswitch aptamer (mini-ykkC)
About the family: Simpler in structure and has fewer highly conserved nucleotide positions than the ykkC-yxkD leader. Despite this each of its two stem-loop structures directly bind free guanidine.
Source: RNAcentral
CACCAGGGACGGCCCUGGCGGAAUCCACAUCCGGGGACGGCCCC